Molecule: ribosomal RNA, 236 nt
Filed under: uncultured bacterium
Lineage: Bacteria
Description: partial 16S ribosomal RNA
Rfam family: Bacterial small subunit ribosomal RNA
Source: RNAcentral
GAUCCUGGCUCAGGAUGAACGCUGGCGGCGUGCCUAAUACAUGCAAGUCGAACGCACAGCGAAAGGUGCUUGCACCUUUCAAGUGAGUGGCGAACGGGUGAGUAACACGUGGACAACCUGCCUCAAGGCUGGGGAUAACAUUUGGAAACAGAUGCUAAUACCGAAUAAAACUUAGUGUCGCAUGACACAAAGUUAAAAGGCGCUUCGGCGUCGCCUAGAGAUGGAUCCGCGGUGCA